AGUGAACGCUGGCGGUAGGCCUAACACAUGCAAGUCGAACGGCAGCACAGUAAGAUUUUGCUCUUACGGGUGGCGAGUGGCGGACGGGUGAGGCAUACAUCGGCAUCUACUUUUUCGUGGGUGAUAACGUAGGGAAACUUACGAUACUACCGCAUAUGACCUACGGCUUAAAUCAGGGGAUCUUCGGACCUUGCGCGAUUGAAUUAGCCGAUGUCGGAUUAGCUAGUUGGCGGGGUAAAGGCCCACCAAGGCGACGAUGCGUAGCUGGUCUGAGAGGAUGAUCAGCCACACUGGAACUGAGACACGGUCCAGACUCCUACGGGAGGCAGCAGUGGGGAAUAUUCGGCAAUGGGCGAAAGCCUGACGCAGCAAUGCCGCGUGAGUGAAGAAGGCCUUCGGAUUGUAAAGCCCUUUUGUUAGGAAAGAAAAGCAGCGGGAGAAAACCCCGCUGUCCUGACGGUACCCAAAGAGAAAGCACCGGCUAACUUCGUG
RNAcentral lists this ribosomal RNA (492 nucleotides) under uncultured bacterium. RNAcentral's name for it is "partial 16S ribosomal RNA". It matches the Rfam family "Bacterial small subunit ribosomal RNA", at positions 29 to 507 of the family's 1533-position model. The record is from RNAcentral.